CAUUCGAUGCAACGCGAAAUACCUUACCCACGUAUUGACAUGUACGAAAUCCUUUAGAGAUAGAGGAGUGCUCGAAAGAGAAUCGUAACACAGGUUUGCAUUAAAAAAGUCAGCUCGUGUCGUGAGAUGUUCGGUUAACUCCCGGAAGGCGCGCAACCCUCGUCAUUAGUUGCUACAUCUAGUUGGGCACUAUAAUGCGAAAUUCGGCGACAAACCGGAGGAAGGGGGGGAGGACGUCAUGUCAUUAUCGCCCUUAUAGGUGGGGCUACACACGUCAUACAAUGGCUGGUCCAAAGGGCUGCAAACCCGCGAGGGGGAGCUAUCCAUAAAAACCAGUCGUAGUCCGGAUCGCAGUCUGCAAUUCGACUGCGUGAAGUCGGAAUCGCUAGUAAUCGUGGAUCAGAAUGUCACGGUGAAUACGUCACAGGGUGUCAUACUCACCGCCCGUCACCCCAUGGGAGCGGGUUUUGCCAGAAGUAGUUAGCCUAACCGCAAGGCGGGCGAUUAGCACGGCAGGGUUCGCAAUGGGGUGAAGU
This 536-nucleotide ribosomal RNA is filed under the name uncultured Burkholderiales bacterium. RNAcentral describes it as "bacterial SSU rRNA". It matches the Rfam family "Bacterial small subunit ribosomal RNA", at positions 948 to 1486 of the family's 1533-position model. The record is from RNAcentral. Lineage: Bacteria; Pseudomonadati; Pseudomonadota; Betaproteobacteria; Burkholderiales.